UUUUCUUUUCUUGUAGUGUCCUUGUCUGGCUAUUGUUCACGAGCAUGUUGUUCAAUUUCUUUGUAUUUGUGAAAUUUUCCAAAAUUCCUUUUAUUAUUCCUAGUUUCAUACCAUUGUGGUCAGAAAAGAUACUUGGUAUGAUUUCAGUCUUCUAAAGUUUAUUAAGACUCGUUUUGUGGCCUAACAUGUGAGUUGUCCUCAAGAAUGUUCCAUGUGCACUUGGGAAGAAUGUAUUUUCUGCUGCUGUUGGAUGGAAUGUUCUUUACAUGUCUGUUAGUUUCCUUUGGUCUAAAGUGUAGUUCAGGUUUGAUGUUUCCUUUUUGAUUUUCUGGCUUUAUUGAAAGUGGACUAUUGAAGUCUCCUACUGUUAUUAUUAUUAUUGAAAUGGAGUCCUGCUCUGUCACCCAGGCUGGAGUGCAGUGGCAAAAUAUCGGCUCACUGAAACCUCCGCCUCCCGGGUUCGAGUGAUUCUCCUCCCUCAGCCUCCUGAGUAGGUGAGAUUACAGGUCAUAGAAUUUUCCACACUCCUUGACGGAGGUUCUUAACCCUUAUCCAUCAGCAUUCUCAGACAGCACCUCCGGUUAGGGACAGUAUCUGACCGUCCGACAUCCCUGCAGCCCCCAUGCUGUCACACAGACUCAGCCUCAGGUAGAUGGUUUCCGUAGAUGGUGGCUUUCUUUGGACCCUUGAUAUCAACCAGUUACUAUUUGACUCUUCUGCAGAACCCCAUGUUGACCCCUGCUUUGAGGUGGCAGCGUUAACACUACUCUUUGUUAUAAGCUCUCGUCUGGGGCAACUCAGGAGAACGGGACCAGAUGUGCAGAGGUAAUGAAUACCAGGGAAUCAGG
This 848-nucleotide non-coding RNA is filed under the name Pongo abelii (Sumatran orangutan). The record is from RNAcentral. Lineage: Eukaryota; Metazoa; Chordata; Mammalia; Primates; Hominidae.